Long non-coding RNA from Dreissena polymorpha, 2513 nucleotides. RefSeq lists it as uncharacterized. Lineage: Eukaryota; Metazoa; Mollusca; Bivalvia; Myida; Dreissenidae. The record is from RefSeq and is a predicted model, not a curated record. The transcript is spliced from 3 exons.
UGUCAUUCAAAUUGACUUUUGGAGAAUUCUCCUGAGUACGCUGGAAACCUGUAGCAGGAAUGAAGAGAGACAUAUCCAAUCCAAGAGAAUCCGAUCCUUUUGACGACAGAUGGGUCAUCAAAAUGGUCUUUAAAAAACAUUUGUCUCCCAGCCCGAUGGAAGACAACCGUACCACAGGCGGAUCAGCAUUGAAUAUCGAAAGCAAUGUUCCGUUGGACCUGCUUGUAGAACUUGUUCCGGAGCACCUUAACCAACUAUGGUGGAGUGGAUAAGUACUUUGCAAAGCCCGGGUUUUAAUGGGUGCCCAGAAAACAGUGGAGAGUCCAGCUAUAUUGUCCACAUCCAGGCUGUGAUAGGCAAGAGCUCGCCUCUGCAGGCAUAAACCAAAAGGUCAGACAAGUUGUUGCUAUUGAUGGCUAUUACAACUUGGCCUGUGACAACCAGGAAUGCAUGAAAUGCAGACGGCGUGUUCUCAGUUGGAGUCAUUCCAUUUUUGUCACAGCUCGACAUACGCGAAACAUGCCCGUGACAGGAAGAUUGUCUUACUGCUCAGAAACAGAAGACUUGGUUACAGUUGCAGUCAAAUCAGAAAGAAGUUAGAUGAACAACAUGAUGAAGCAUGGUUCAAUAAUAAUGCUCACUACCUUACAGAUUGCAGUGGCUUCAUUCAUGCAGCACAAUCUGGUUUACUGGUCAAUCAUACCAUUUCUGAUCCACCAGAAAGAGCUCCCCUUCCAAGACACAGAUGGUUCAUGCAAAUCUACACCCAGAACGUAUUUCAACGGCUAGACGAGAUAAUGGCUGGCAUAACCUCUGUGUUUGGAAGAAUUCUUAAACUGGAUUCAACAAAGAAAAUGGUGAAGAAGUUGGCAGGUCGCCCUGCUAUAACAGCUCUUUGGUGCUCGAAUGUUGGAAACGAGCAUGGGCAGAUCUUGACUUCAGUCAUAACAAGUAGUGAAGGACAUGGUCUUACCCCAAUGUUGGUGGGUAUCAUUAACAGAUACACAAAGGCAGAGAUCCCUUCCCCUAGAAAUCCUGUAUCUUGAUCGUGACUGUUGUGGUGCAUCUCUCUUACAAGUGUUGAAGGCGUCAGCAUGGAAUGCUACAUUUGUCCGUCUUGAUAUCUGGCAUUUUAUGAGGAGAAUUGCCACUGGUUGUUCCACUGACUCACAUGCGUUGUACUCAACUUUCAUGGGGUUAAUGAGCAACUGCAUUUUCAAUUGGGAUGAAGAGGAUUUCCAACGUCUUGUUAAGUCCAAGAGAAAUGAGCUUGCGGCACAAGAUAUUCACUACAAGUCGAAAAGUGAUGUGAAAACUCUUACUCACAAUGAGCUAGCUUUGCACUGCCUUCGCAUAACAAGGGGUGUGUCUGAGACCACAAGACUUCUCCACGAGCUCAUCAAAGUCUUCAGUGGUGAAAAGAGAAGGGACAAUUUAGGUGUACCCUUAAUCAACAGCUCGCGGAUGAAAAGCAUAUGGAAAGCACAACAGAAACAGAUAGUCUGCAUACAAGAUCCCCCCUUGAAUAGCACUGUACAACAAGACUGGCUCUUCAAAGAAGGGAGGGAUUGAGAUGCCAAACUUUAAAUGUGAUCAUGGCUAAACAUCUUUUGAAAGCUUCCAUUUGAACCCGAACAGGUUUAUCAAAGGUAUACAAGACGUGCCAAAGACUAUGACAAACAUGUUGUGACCAAGGGAGUGAGGUUUGUCAACCCAUCACAAACAACCAAUUUGGGAAUUCCGGUUGCGGUUGGAAACCAGUUCAACUUCCAACAAGGAAAGCAGAACCACGUGUUUUCCCAUGUACAACAAACACUGCUGGUCUGGCAAGAAUAAAGGGGCAGAAAAAACCGCCAAAGAAGCCAUCUGAAAAAGUUCAUUUGUUAAAUAAUACUGAUAUUAUUGCUCCCAAGCAGACGUCUGAUAGUGACUGGAGAAGAGAUCACAUAUAUGCUGACAGACCAGUUGUCUAAUGAUAAUACAAUGACCUUGUCUGCUCAUAUUGCUCCCCAGCCCAUGGUUACAUUUCUUGAUAGGUCAACUAUCCCCUACACCACUCAAAGGUACAGGAAGCGAAAGCUUGAGAUGGAAAAAGAAGGAAUUACGAAAAGGAAAUAUGACAGGAAGAAAGUACCGAUUUGUAAGAGUGUGGCCGGGAUCACAAUGAAGUGACAGAAUAAAAGGACUCCAGUAGCACUCUAACAAGUGACAUGUAACCAAUUCAAGUAUCUUCAUAUUUAAUGGUGUUGUGAAACCUUUGCUAUUAUUUUAAGAAUAUUUUUUUUUCGGUGUGCUAUACCUGACCAAUCUUUUGGAGGGAAAAGACACGGUUUUAGUUUAAAAGCAACCAAGAGAGACAGUUAAGAGUAUUUGCCAGAGGCUUUGAAAACAAUUCAAUUCCAUAAAUUGAUUUGAUUCUACAUACAUCUAAUUUUACUGUCAGAUACUACAUAAUAAACUUGAUAAACUGAACCGUGAAUUUUGGUAGUAUUAUAAUUAUAUCUAGACACAAG